UGGAAGCGUUUCAAGGGUUA
This 20-nucleotide non-coding RNA is filed under the name Arabidopsis thaliana (thale cress). The record is from RNAcentral. Lineage: Eukaryota; Viridiplantae; Streptophyta; Magnoliopsida; Brassicales; Brassicaceae.